UAGCAGUAUCUUUAAGUCCGUAAUUAUUCGCGUGCUUAUUAGCAUUAAACUUAUCACAAUUAGAAUUAAAUAAUUCUAAUUUGUCGAGUACAGGUUAUCUUUAAGUCCGUAAUUAUAUUCGCGUGCUUAUUAGCAUUAAACUUAUCGCAAUUAGAAUCAAAUAAUUCUAAUUUGUCGAGUAUAGGUUAGAUUACGAAUUCGAUAGAAAGUGGUGUUAUUAUAACCCGUGCGAUAUCUAAGACAAUCAGCGGAGUGGGGGUUGAGGGGAAUUAUGGCAGAUCGGGAUCUCGCACUGUCAGUCGGUUAUGGGCUCUAGUUACGGAAAGUUAUUGUGACAUUAAUGUAACCACCGUUGGUCAUCGUGCUUGGGAGUCAAAUUUUAAAGGUUACGGUGAUUGGUUUCGAUCUAAUUCACUCUUCUGAGUUAACUUGGAUCGCGGAAACUUACUCGCAGCGAAGAACCGGGGGAACAUGGGUAAUGAGAAAUAACAGUAUUCAGACGAUCUGAGAACGGGACAUAAAUGAAACACUGCAAGGUUUUAGGUUAUAACUGGAGAGAGCGAAACAGAGCUAAUGAAAGAGAAGAAUAUGUAUAAGGGAAUUAUAAACCAAGUACAAACAAAGAUUGUAUAAUAGACAAAAGUGGACGAGACGGGAGUGGAAACUGUUGUGCGCUGCACGGGAACGGCGUGGAUGACGCAAUGUAAAAUUGCAACGCGGGGGUGGCACAGGCUUGAAAAAGCGCAAGCCCAAAGGUCGAAACAGUCUCGGAUCGCCCCGUGUCGCGCGUUUCCAUGAAUUUCGCCGGGAAAAUAAUUUCUGACGGAGCGGAACGAUUUCCGUUCAUUUCGAAAAGUGAAUCGAGGAAUAUUGAAAAAUGAUUAUCUCUCGUCCGGGGGUAGGAAAAGCCUCGAUGAAAAUUCGUUCGGCGACGCGAUGAGGGUGGAUGGAGGACAGCGUCGACGACGACGGGAGAGCAGCGGCGGGGUUGUUAAAAUAUUGUGAUAAAUAAAACGCGCUGACAAAGAAGAGGCGAGGUGCGCGCACCGGCACGCGUGGCGCACAGAUCGAACGUAUCUGUGCCAAUUCGAAAGGAGCAUAAAUCCAACAGAACUAUUCCGGAGGACUCCGAUAUACAUAUAGCAAAUUUUAAUCCCUCGGACGCGCUUUCACCCUUUCGUGCCCGUCCGUUUUCGUCACGAACGCAUUAAAUCCGUCCAUUGAUCACGCCUCCACUCUAAUUUCGCCGGGCGAAAAGAUCCUAACAAAUUGUUCUGCCGCGCGCAGGAGCCGUUUAAACACAAGCGGAAAUUCGCAUAGAGACCCGCGGAGUCCGCGGACAACGGCUGCUGAACAAGAUACAAUUUCGCGUGGAAGGAAGAAAAAAAAAAGAAAGGAAACCGGCUGGAACCACCGGGGACGAUAAAACGGGGAAAAAUGGGCGAUGUGGCGGCGGAGGGUGGAAAAUGAAGAAAGAGGAAGAGGGCGACGGAAGAAACGUAGGCUGGAGAGGAGGGAAAAAGAGAAGAGACGAAGUCGCGCACACGUUUCUCCUGACGCCGUUCCAGCCGGAAGUCGUGCUGGAGGGGGAGCUCUAGAAUCGAUAACCGCCCCUCUGCCACGUCGAAAGGGGUCGCCGCCACCCUCCUUUUAAAAGGGAGAGGCGAAGGGAGCCAGAGAGAGAUAGAGAUAGAGAGAGAGAGAGAGAGAGAGAGAGAGAGAGAGAGAGAGAGGGAGAGACGAGAUUCGAACACCAGGUCGAUCCCCGAAGGGGAAAACUGGCUGGCUGAACGAUGACGCCGGCGAUGACGAUCAUUCUCACACUGCUCUGAUCAUUUUAAAAGCCUAGAGGCACUAGAGAAACUUCAAACGCCAUUUUUCUGAUCCGCUCGAUUUUUAUUCCUGCUCGCGGAAAAUUCGUCGGAGCUUUUCCUCUUUCUCUUUUUUCCUCUCUCUCUUUUUUUCCUCUUUCUCUCUUUUUUCUCUUUCUUUUGUUUUCUCUUUAUAAAAAUUACUUCACACUGCCUGGCCAUUCAAAUGACAAUAAUUUGCGAUUUUUAAGCACCAUGGCAUUGGCUUAGUGUUAGAGAAAUAAUAGAUUUCUAAAAUAGUAAAUAGACUGUAAAUAUUUUUAUCUUCUCGUACGAUGCAGAAUUUGGCAAAUCAACUUUUCUUCCAUAAAUAGUAGUUAUGCAUUGAAAUAGCAUUUCAAGUAUAUUGUUUAAUAGCACAGCUCAUAUAAAUACUAUUCUGAAAUAAGUAUUUCAUUAAAACAUAAGAAAAUAAUAUUUCAUCAAAUAGUCGUAUUACAGUAUAUUACUAAAUAGUAAUUUCACAGAAUAGUAUUUAAAACAAUAGUAUUCUAAGUAAUAGUAUUGCAAAUAAAAGGCUUUUAUCCUUUAAUUUCCAAACAGUAUUUCAUUCGAACACUAAAUGAAAUAGUAUUUCUAAAUAAGAUUUACUCAUGCAAAUAUUUCAAUGUUUGUCACUUCAAUUAUUUCAAAAUUCUUUCAAAUUUUCGCCAGCCCUUAUAUUAACACAUUGCAGUCAAGUGGUGACUCUGAGGCAAGGCAUCGCUAAAACUUAUCGUAUCAAAUUUCAAAAUAAUGCCAAUGUUAUCCAGUUUGUUUACAUCUAAAAAAAACAGAUUUUUUAAAUCAUAUAU
This is a long non-coding RNA of Megalopta genalis, 2665 nucleotides long. RefSeq lists it as uncharacterized. The record is from RefSeq and is a predicted model, not a curated record. Lineage: Eukaryota; Metazoa; Arthropoda; Insecta; Hymenoptera; Halictidae.